RNAcentral lists this ribosomal RNA (330 nucleotides) under uncultured bacterium. RNAcentral's name for it is "bacterial SSU rRNA". It matches the Rfam family "Bacterial small subunit ribosomal RNA", at positions 568 to 898 of the family's 1533-position model. The record is from RNAcentral.
UUCGUAGGCGGCGUGGCAAGUCGGAAGUGAAAUCUCCGGGCUUAACCCAGAGGCUGCUCCCGAAACUGCCGUGCUAGAGUGCGGGAGAGGCGAGUGGAAUUGCAGGUGUAGCGGUGAAAUGCGUAGAUAUCUGCAGGAACACCCGUGGCGAAGGCGGCUCGCUGGACCGCAACUGACGCUGAGGAACGAAAGCUAGGGGAGCAAACAGGAUUAGAUACCCUGGUAGUCCUAGCCCUAAACCAUCAGGACUUGGGGUGCAUCCCGUUCGGGGUGCGUCCCGUAGCUAACGCGUUAAGUCCUGCGCCUGGGGAGUACGGUCGCAAGACUGAA